RNAcentral lists this ribosomal RNA (478 nucleotides) under uncultured bacterium. RNAcentral describes it as "partial 16S ribosomal RNA". It matches the Rfam family "Bacterial small subunit ribosomal RNA", at positions 28 to 523 of the family's 1533-position model. The record is from RNAcentral.
GACGAACGCUGGCGGCGUGCUUAACACAUGCAAGUCGAACGGUAAGGCCCUUCGGGGUACACGAGUGGCGAACGGGUGAGUAACACGUGGGUGAUCUGCCCUGCACUUCGGGAUAAGCCUGGGAAACUGGGUCUAAUACCGGAUAGGACCACUGCCUGCAUGGGUGGUGGUGGAAAGCUUUUGCGGUGUGGGAUGGGCCCGCGGCCUAUCAGCUUGUUGGUGGGGUGAUGGCCUACCAAGGCGACGACGGGUAGCCGGCCUGAGAGGGUGACCGGCCACACUAGGACUGAGAUACGGCCCAGACUCCUACGGGAGGCAGCAGUGGGGAAUAUUGCACAAUGGGCGCAAGCCUGAUGCAGCGACGCCGCGUGAGGGAUGACGGCCUUCGGGUUGUAAACCUCUUUCAGCACCGACGAAGCGCAAGCGACGGUAGGUGCAGAAGAAGGACCGGCCAACUACGUGCCAGCCGCCGCAGUAA